This 99-nucleotide small RNA is filed under the name Salmonella enterica. Its description in RNAcentral is "partial RtT sRNA". It matches the Rfam family "RtT RNA", at positions 1 to 98 of the family's 130-position model. From Rfam's summary of the family: This family represents a bacterial cis-regulatory element known as RtT RNA. The exact function of RtT is unknown although it is thought that it may be involved in changing the cellular response in relation to amino acid starvation. Lineage: Bacteria; Pseudomonadati; Pseudomonadota; Gammaproteobacteria; Enterobacterales; Enterobacteriaceae. RNAcentral also lists the same sequence under 1 other name. The record is from RNAcentral.
AUAUCUCUCCGUACGGGAAGGAUGAGAAGCUUCGACCAAGGUUCGAUUCGAGCGCAGCGAGAAAGCGUUGCCGCAGGCAACGACCCGAAGGGCGAAGCG